CACAGCAAGGCUCUGGGAGAAAUGCAGCUGCCGCGAUUACUGUUGUCGUGGCAUUUGUGUUGGUCAUUGGCUUUCUAUGGCUGAGAAAGAAGACGUAUUGUGCUCUCCUUCAAAAAGGAACUACGUAUAUUUCGCAACAGGCAGACUCACAUCCUGGUCACCAUGGUAACCAUGUUGAUGACGUGUCAAGUAAAGGCACAGCAACGACCUCUAACCUCAGCUCAAAGAGACAAAUGUCCACAGUACCAGAAGGGGGCGCCAACGACGAUGUCCACUACGCCAGCAUUCGCUUCAGAGACUGGAAAGGAGAGGCGGUUGAGGGACCGUACGUCGCCAACCCUCAACUUUCCACCACCCAGACUCAUACCA
Engraulis encrasicolus (European anchovy) is the source of this 369-nucleotide long non-coding RNA. RefSeq lists it as uncharacterized. The record is from RefSeq and is a predicted model, not a curated record. The transcript has 3 exons. NCBI's taxonomy places the organism in Eukaryota, Metazoa, Chordata, Actinopteri, Clupeiformes, Engraulidae.